RNAcentral lists this ribosomal RNA (497 nucleotides) under uncultured bacterium. RNAcentral's name for it is "partial 16S ribosomal RNA". It matches the Rfam family "Bacterial small subunit ribosomal RNA", at positions 28 to 507 of the family's 1533-position model. The record is from RNAcentral.
GACGAAUGCUGGCGGCGUGCCUAAUACAUGCAAGUUGAGCGCUGAAGGUUGGUACUUGUACCAACUGGAUGAGCAGCGAACGGGUGAGUAACGCGUGGGGAAUCUGCCUUUGAGCGGGGGACAACAUUUGGAAACGAAUGCUAAUACCGCAUAAAAACUUUAAACACAAGUUUUAAGUUUGAAAGAUGCAAUUGCAUCACUCAAAGAUGAUCCCGCGUUGUAUUAGCUAGUUGGUGAGGUAAAGGCUCACCAAGGCGAUGAUACAUAGCCGACCUGAGAGGGUGAUCGGCCACAUUGGGACUGAGACACGGCCCAAACUCCUACGGGAGGCAGCAGUAGGGAAUCUUCGGCAAUGGACGAAAGUCUGACCGAGCAACGCCGCGUGAGUGAAGAAGGUUUUCGGAUCGUAAAACUCUGUUGGUAGAGAAGAAAGUUGGUGAGAGUGGAAAGCUCAUCAAGUGACGGUAACUACCCAGAAAGGGACGGCUAACUACGUG